AAUGUCUGGGAAACUGCCUGAUGGAGGGGGAUAACUACUGGAAACGGUAGCUAAUACCGCAUAACGUCGCAAGACCAAAGAGGGGGACCUUCGGGCCUCUUGCCAUCGGAUGUGCCCAGAUGGGAUUAGCUAGUAGGUGGGGUAACGGCUCACCUAGGCGACGAUCCCUAGCUGGUCUGAGAGGAUGACCAGCCACACUGGAACUGAGACACGGUCCAGACUCAUACGGGAGGCAGCAGUGGGGAAUAUUGCACAAUGGGCGCAAGCCUGAUGCAGCCAUGCCGCGUGUAUGAAGAAGGCCUUCGGGUUGUAAAGUACUUUCAGCGGGGAGGAAGGUGUUGAGGUUAAUAACCUCAGCAAUUGACGUUACCCGCAGAAGAAGCACCGGCUAACUCCGUGCCAGCAGCCGCGGUAAUACGGAGGGUGCAAGCGUUAAUCGGAAUUACUGGGCGUAAAGCGCACGCAGGCGGUCUGUCAAGUCGGAUGUGAAAUCCCCGGGCUCAACCUGGGAACUGCAUUCGAAACUGGCAGGCUAGAGUCUUGUAGAGGGGGGUAGAAUUCCAGGUGUAGCGGUGAAAUGCG
Molecule: ribosomal RNA, 582 nt
Filed under: Enterobacter sp.
Lineage: Bacteria; Pseudomonadati; Pseudomonadota; Gammaproteobacteria; Enterobacterales; Enterobacteriaceae
Description: bacterial SSU rRNA
Rfam family: Bacterial small subunit ribosomal RNA
Source: RNAcentral